UACGGAAGGCAGCAGUGGGGAAUAUUGCACAAUGGGCGCAAGCCUGAUGCAGCCAUGCCGCGUGUAUGAAAAAGGCCUUCGGGUUGUAAAGUACUUUCAGUCGUGAGGAAGGUGUUAAGGUUAAUAACCUUAGCAAUUGACGUUAGCGACAGAAGAAGCACCGGCUAACUCCGUGCCAGCAGCCGCGGUAAUACGGAGGGUGCGAGCGUUAAUCGGAAUUACUGGGCGUAAAGGGCACGCAGGCGGUUAAUUAAGUUGGAUGUGAAAUCCCCGGGCUUAACCUGGGAAUGGCAUUCAAGACUGGUUAGCUAGAGUCUUGUAGAGGGGGUUAGAAUUCCAUGUGUAGCGGUGAAAUGCGUAGAGAUGUGGAGGAAUACCGGUGGCGAAGGCGGCCCCUGGGACAAAGGACUGACGCUCAUGUGCGAAAGCGUGGGGAGCGAAAC
Molecule: ribosomal RNA, 443 nt
Filed under: uncultured bacterium
Lineage: Bacteria
Description: bacterial SSU rRNA
Rfam family: Bacterial small subunit ribosomal RNA
Source: RNAcentral